RNAcentral lists this ribosomal RNA (429 nucleotides) under Bacteroidota bacterium. Its description in RNAcentral is "Bacteroidetes bacterium partial 16S ribosomal RNA". It matches the Rfam family "Bacterial small subunit ribosomal RNA", at positions 355 to 776 of the family's 1533-position model. Lineage: Bacteria; Pseudomonadati; Bacteroidota. The record is from RNAcentral.
UAGGGAAUCUUCGGCAAUGGGGGGAACCCUGACCGAGCAACGCCGCGUGAGUGAAGAAGGUUUUCGGAUCGUAAAGCUCUGUUGUUAAGGAAGAACGAGUGUGAGAAUGGAAAGUUCAUACUGUGACGGUACUUAACCAGAAAGGGACGGCUAACUACGUGCCAGCAGCCGCGGUAAUACGUAGGUCCCGAGCGUUGUCCGGAUUUAUUGGGCGUAAAGCGAGCGCAGGCGGUUAGAUAAGUCUGAAGUUAAAGGCAGUGGCUCAACCAUUGUAUGCUUUGGAAACUGUUUAACUUGAGUGCAGAAGGGGAGAGUGGAAUUCCAUGUGGGGCGGUUAAAUGCGUAGAUAUAUGGAGGAACACCGGUGGCGAAAGCGGCUCUCUGGUCUGUAACUGACGCUGAGGCUCGAAAGCGUGGGGAGCGAACAGG